Molecule: ribosomal RNA, 743 nt
Filed under: uncultured bacterium
Lineage: Bacteria
Description: bacterial SSU rRNA
Rfam family: Bacterial small subunit ribosomal RNA
Source: RNAcentral
CGAACGCUUCUUUUUCCACCGGAGCUUGCUCCACCGGAAAAAGAAGAGUGGCGAACGGGUGAGUAACACGUGGGUAACCUGCCCAUCAGAAGGGGAUAACACUUGGAAACAGGUGCUAAUACCGUAUAACAAUCAAAACCGCAUGGUUUUGAUUUGAAAGGCGCUUUCGGGUGUCGCUGAUGGAUGGACCCGCGGUGCAUUAGCUAGUUGGUGAGGUAACGGCUCACCAAGGCCACGAUGCAUAGCCGACCUGAGAGGGUGAUCGGCCACAUUGGGACUGAGACACGGCCCAAACUCCUACGGGAGGCAGCAGUAGGGAAUCUUCGGCAAUGGACGAAAGUCUGACCGAGCAACGCCGCGUGAGUGAAGAAGGUUUUCGGAUCGUAAAACUCUGUUGUUAGAGAAGAACAAGGAUGAGAGUAACUGUUCAUCCCUUGACGGUAUCUAACCAGAAAGCCACGGCUAACUACGUGCCAGCAGCCGCGGUAAUACGUAGGUGGCAAGCGUUGUCCGGAUUUAUUGGGCGUAAAGCGAGCGCAGGCGGUUUCUUAAGUCUGAUGUGAAAGCCCCCGGCUCAACCGGGGAGGGUCAUUGGAAACUGGGAGACUUGAGUGCAGAAGAGGAGAGUGGAAUUCCAUGUGUAGCGGUGAAAUGCGUAGAUAUAUGGAGGAACACCAGUGGCGAAGGCGGCUCUCUGGUCUGUAACUGACGCUGAGGCUCGAAAGCGUGGGGAGCAAACAGGA